GAUGAACGCUGGCGGCGUGCCUAAUACAUGCAAGUCGAGCGAACGGACGAGAAGCUUGCUUCUCUGAUGUUAGCGGCGGACGGGUGAGUAACACGUGGAUAACCUACCUAUAAGACUGGGAUAACUUCGGGAAACCGUAGCUAAUACCGGAUAAUAUUUUGAACCGCAUGGUUCAAAAGUGAAAGACGGUCUUGCUGUCACUUAUAGAUGGAUCCGCGCUGCAUUAGCUAGUUGGUAAGGUAACGGCUUACCAAGGCAACGAUGCAUGGCCGACCUGAGAGGGUGAUCGGCCACACUGGAACUGAGACUCGGUCCAGACUCCUACGGGAGGCAGCAGUAGGGAAUCUUCCGCAAUGGGCGAAAGCCUGACGGAGCAACGCCGCGUGAGUGAUGAAGGUCUUCGGAUCGUAAAACUCUGUUAUUAGGGAAGAACAUAUGUGUAAGUAACUGUGCACAUCUUGACGGUACCUAAUCAGAAAGCCACGGCUAACUACGUG
This 497-nucleotide ribosomal RNA is filed under the name uncultured bacterium. Its description in RNAcentral is "partial 16S ribosomal RNA". It matches the Rfam family "Bacterial small subunit ribosomal RNA", at positions 28 to 507 of the family's 1533-position model. The record is from RNAcentral.